Asterias rubens (European starfish) is the source of this 4166-nucleotide long non-coding RNA. RefSeq lists it as uncharacterized. The record is from RefSeq and is a predicted model, not a curated record. Lineage: Eukaryota; Metazoa; Echinodermata; Asteroidea; Forcipulatida; Asteriidae. The transcript is spliced from 6 exons.
GUUUUGUUCACAGCGAGUAACAAGCUUUUUUUUUUCACAGGGACUUCAAAGCCUUUCUGUUACAGCGACUAAAAAGCAUUUCUUUCACAUCGACUAACCAGUGUUUCUUUCAUAGCGACUAAAAUGAAAAAAAAUCAGACUCUUGGAGAAAUGAGUGACACUACAAUUUCUUGGAACUCUCUUUGAUGUCCUGGAAUGGCGACCCGAGGUCAGCAGAAUCAAAGCAUUAAAGGUCGUUAGCAGUUAAUCCUGAUUGCAGCAAACAAUUGUGCACUGGAGACAUCGGUCUGGUUAUAUUGAGGUCCCAGGUAAUGUUUAUGGUGAACUUGAUCUUCACUGAGAUGAGGUGAUGCAUACCACCAGGGACUGUGGUCAUCAUGCACAAGAUUUGGUAAUGUAUCAGUUCAGUUAUUUAUUUGAGGGUAAACGUUACUGGUGAAGAACUACUUCUGAAAUGGACCACCUUAUAAAUGGAAUAGCUACGCCAAGGAUUUUGGAAAAUCUAAACCUUGUUUAUUGAUAAUUAGAUAAGGAAUGUGAAAUUCUCAACAAAAUAAAACAAAAAGAAAAUGAUGAAGUUUGAAUCUCCACAAGACAAAUCUCUUCAGUAGUAAAGACAGUUUGUAACCAGCAGUAUAUUGAAUAUUCUACAACAGCAAGAUGGAAAAACCGACCGAGGUAGAACAACCUUAAUAACCAGUUGACUUGCUUUCACAAAAUUGUGCUGGAACAAUCCAAACAAAUUGAAAAGCCUCCUUUGAAUACCUGCAGUUAAUCACCAAGAUAUGUAAAUGCUAAUUUCAACUAAAUGUUCCCUCAGUUGAGUAGUCUCCUUUCUGCAACCGGACCUGUUUGGAUGCGCAUCGUUGGAGGAAACGGGGGAGAUCUCUUACAGAGCUUUGACUAGACGCCAGACCAAUUUGGAUAAUCAUUUAUAGAGUGCACAGGUGCAAAGAGUCAAAAACAGUACGCCAAAUUGAGACGAUGGUGUCUGGAGAAAACCUACACCCAAUGUUGAGGCUAAUGCUUUUUGGACAGAGUGGGUUCAUCUGCAGAAGAACUGUGUCAAGUCUAUCUGUGCUACAUGUUGAACUGAUGAAGUGAUGUCCAGACAUUGAGGCUAAAUGACACUGGACUGUGUGCCAAAAACUAAAGUGGAGCAGUCUCUUGUGGAGUGGUGACUACAACCGAAGAGGAUUGGAUGAGCAUCAUUGAGAAAUAAAGGGUGUAUGGUGACUACAAGUGGACCUGUUUGGAUAAGCAACCGUUUGAGGAUACCCGGGAGUGGUGCAUAUAUACAACCGAACAUGUUUGGAUGAGCAUCGGUAGAUGAUACAGGAGCAAAGAGUUCACCACAGAAUGCUUGAUUGUGAAGAUGCCUUUUGGAGAUGACACAAUACCAAUCUUGAGGCUUCAAUCAAUGCUUUUUGGACUGAGUUCAACCAACUGAAGGACUGUGUUAAUGUCAAGCCAGAUGAUUCUCACGGACUACAAAUUUAACUGAUGAGAUUGAGAAGAUGCCCUCUGAAGAUGACCUACAACCAAUCUUGAGGCUAAUCAAUGCCACUGUCUGAGGGAGGAUGACGUCAAGUCUAGCCAUGAUUCUCUGCUUCACUCCUAAAGUGACUUCAGGAUGUUGAGUGUAACCAAUGUUUUCUGGACUGUGUGCCCCUUGCUGAAGGACUUUGCCAAGUUUAGCAAGGUGACUCUCCGCUACAAUUCGAACUUACAAAACGCUUUUUGGAAGGUCCCCAUGGAAGAAAGACUGUGUCCACCCUAGCCUGAUAAUGUUCAACUGCUAAACAGAUGUAUGGAUUUUGAGCCCAACCGUCGUUUUUUGGACUUGUACCAUCAGCUGAAAGACUGUCAAGUUUACCAAGUCUACGCUACAAGUUGAUAUUGAUGCUACAUUUGUAAUUUGUGCAUAUUGAAACGUUGCCAUUUGUUGACUGCAGAAAGACUAUAUGUCUCCGCUACAAGUACAACUCGCGUAGUGAUGUUGACGCUACAAUUGUAACUAAGACUUUUUUUGGAAGGUCGCCGAAGAAGAAAGACUUUUUAGAGACUAGUCAGAUGAUGUUCAACUAAUACAAUUUGGACAAUGAGGGCGCCAUUUAUUUUUCUAUAAUGAAGAGGAGAGGACCAUCUAGUCUGCGCCGAACUUACAGCCAUGGCUAUGCAUGUGGCUGUUGCUAUGGCAUCUUGCUGCUAAUGCAUGUUGACAUGGUGAUCAAGCCACAUUUACAAUCACUACCUCAGUAACAGCCUAAGAUUAUUGUUUACUCAAUUUGGCUUUUCUUGACUCCAUCAAACUCCUAUUUUACAAUGCGCUCUGUACUCGCAUCAGUUGAAUUAAAAUUGGCAUGCCUGGCCCUCAUGCCAAGCAGUGUUUGUUUAUCGUGGAUCACUAAUUUAAUUAAAUGCAAGUACAAUACCCAUUUGACUUUUGUUGGUGUCGAAGCAGUUAGGAAUACAACUCUAAAGAUUGUAUAGCUUUGGUAAAGAGAAGUCAAUGAAUACUAGGAUACCAAAUAGUGAAAUAUGAGCAUCAUUUAAAAUGUGUUUUUUUCUUGCUAAGACCGUUUGGCUACAAAUAACUAAAUGAGUGAAAUUGUUAACAGCAAUUGCAGGGGGACUUGCAUUUUGUCAAAAUUAAACUGCGAGUUAGCACUUUGCUCAGAAAUGCCAGAAACCAUGGCAAGAAAAGCUUGGGGUUAGUCGAACAAUUCUUAUGUCAAAUAAUUUAUUUUAUGAAGGUAGAAAACCUGACAAUCUUGUGACAAAAUGUUUAUACAAAAUAUAUUCCAUUUUGAAGGGUUAUAUCAAAGUUAUUCUUGGCUAGCUAAAUAAUUAUCAUAUUCAAAGAAGUGUGGUAAAAGUGUACUUGAGCACAAAAAAGAAAAAUGCGUGUACUAGUGAAAUGCGCGUUGAGCAGGGCCCAAUUUUCAUAGAGCUACUUUAAUAGAAAAUAUUGCUUUGCAUAUUGUUUUAGCCAUUUUGUGUGCUUAAGCAUGUAGCUCUAUGUAAAUAGGCCCAUCCAGACUCCUGUUGCCAUAUCAACACAAACCAUGGCAGCAAUCACAACACGGCUCAGUUUCACAAAGAGCUUAGACAAUAAGUUCAGUCUUAGUUACUUGGCAACGUGUGAUUUCACAGUACAAAUCACCAUGGUAAUAUUGACAACUUGUCUUUGUGAAUCUUGGUGUUUUGUGAAACCGAACUCUGCACUCCUCACCCUAACCCUGCACUAACGUAACACUCUAACUCUAACUUUAACCAAUAGCACUAAUACCAUAACAAAUAUCACUCACUAUAUAAUAUUUAACUAGUAACACCUAACCCUCACAGCAUCAUGCUACAUAUGCAAUGUGCAAUUUGAAUCAAAUAGAAAAGUGUCAUUAAUAUAUAAAAACAUGUAUUUUGUCUAUGCGUGCUCAAGUACAACUUUGUGGCUGGGUGGAAGAUGAAUCAAUAUUAUCAUUUAUUUGUUGUGUUUAUUCAUCUCAAUUUACUUGAAUAUGAUACUGUAGUAAAAACUUGAAAGUUCAAGCAUUUUUUAUAAAAGCAAAGAAGUAUGCAUUAUUUGCAAAUUGUUGUAGGAUGAGAUGUGUUAUCAAGUAUUUUGUUAAAUUAUGUGAGUUAAGCCAAGGUGCGAAAUAAGACCAACAGUAACAUGCAAACUAUCGUGUAUGUGUCAAUUAUUGUAAUUAAUAAGUAUCGGUGUAUUCUGGGAUUUAAGGGAGAGAUGUAUCAAGCGUUUCAGAUGACUGAUGAUAAAGCGCUAUGGGAAUAAGUGUACAAAAACCUUUUAAAAUACACAAUUUUUUAGUUGAAUUGAUUCUAUGUAUACAGAUGCCCAUGUCAUAUUUUAUAGAGCCGCAGUUAAGGGGUUAACACUUACAAAAUCUAAAUGAAAACCUAAUUUAAAAUUAUGUGUUUACUUUUUGUUAGAGUAGUAAAGUAUGUCACCAUGUGGCAUGUUAGAGGACCAGAUUUAGACUAUUGAGUCACACUACUUGUAAAGUUUGUUUAAUUUUUGAUUAUUGUUUAUUGGGUGGUUAUUGAUGACCUAUCCAAAAUCGGACAAGAGUUUCAAGCCAGAAGUGACCUAAUUUGCAUAUUUAAAUUAGGUGGUAAUUAGCAAUCUUUAAGGUCAAUUGUCUAAA